Molecule: long non-coding RNA, 1055 nt
Organism: Leptopilina heterotoma
Lineage: Eukaryota; Metazoa; Arthropoda; Insecta; Hymenoptera; Figitidae
Exons: 3
Source: RefSeq, a predicted model, not a curated record
GCUACGACAGUCUGGUUUAUCUUUAUAGCCAUCGUGCCUGAAGAAUGUUAGACACGCGCAAUGUCAUUUCAUCCGCGCCACCACCUGCGACGAGAAUCAAUUUAGAAAAGGAUUUUGCUGACAUUCUUGAAGAUAAACGAGAGAUCAGGGAAAAAGUUGAAAUUCUAUUUGAAAAUCAAGGUUUUCCCUGUUUUCCAGAAUUAGGAAAAAACAAAAUCGAAUUUUUUUGACAUCCCUAAAUUCAAUAAUCUUAUACACAACUCUUAAAAUGAAAAGAAUUUAAUGUCUGACUAAACAUGUUGUUUACUACUGAAUUGACAAAAUUUACAGAAAUUGUAAAUUUCCCACGUCUGACUAUAACUGAUCUUUACUACUGAUAACAAAAAGUCACAAAAAUUUAAAUCAUCAUCUUUUCCAACUAAAACGAAUCACAAAAAUUUUAAAAAUCUACAAUAAAAAAAAUAUUUUCCUUUAUAUUCAGUCAAAAAAUAAAAAUUCCAAAAUACAUUCAAUCGAAACGAAAGUGGAAACCGAAAAAAAGAUUGCGUAUAGUUUUGUACCUUUUUCUCUGUCUCUCUCGCUCAUUAAAUAGGAGAAUUUAAUCGAAUUUUCUAAAGAAGAAAAAUCAACAGGUAUAACACACACAUAGAGUGAGAGUGAGAGAGAGUGAGUGGAGGCGGGAGAUUAGAUUUUUGUUCGAAAAGAAGGAAAACGGAACAAUGAAUUUUGCGGCUGACAGUGUUCCAAAGCAUUGUUAGUCGGGUUUUGUGUACGAGUGGCUGCCCCUGAAUUCGACUUAAUUUUCCUGAGAAAAGAGAUUAAGCGAAAAUGGCUGCUGCGCGCUUUACUCUCUCGCAAAUGCCCUGCACGCAUCCUGCUGGAAACCUCUUAAAAUAUUCGAAACUCUGUUACAAUACAGUAAUAGUAUAUAGUUGUAUUUCUAGUGCAAGGACCCGCAUCAUUGUGCAUUGUACUUUUUUUUGAAGAUCUCUUGUACAGCUCAUUUCAAAAACUUAUAAUUCCAGAGUAAAUUUCCAAGACAAAGAAAAUAGUUU